RNAcentral lists this ribosomal RNA (373 nucleotides) under Scolopsis affinis (Peters' monocle bream). RNAcentral describes it as "partial 12S ribosomal RNA". It matches the Rfam family "Bacterial small subunit ribosomal RNA", at positions 966 to 1533 of the family's 1533-position model. The record is from RNAcentral. Lineage: Eukaryota; Metazoa; Chordata; Actinopteri; Spariformes; Nemipteridae.
UUACCCUUUCUUGUUUUUUCAGCCUAUAUACCGCCGUCACACAGCUCACCCCUUGAGGGCUAAAGAAUGUGGGCUCAAUCGGUAUUCACCCCCAGUAAGACAGGUCGAGGCGUAGCUUAUGAAAGGGAAAGAAAUGGGCUACAUUCCCUAAUUUAGUGAAUACGGAAGAUCACCCUGAAAUAAGGUAUCCGAAGGUGGAUUUAGCAGUAAGAGGGGAAUAGAGUGCCUCUCUGAAGUAGGCAAUGAAGCGUGCACACACCGCCCGUCACUCCCUCCAAGCACUUUCACCUAAAAUUUUAUAAACCAUGAGAAACGCACAGGAGGGGCAAGUCGUAACACGGUAAGCGUACUAGAAAGUGCGCUUGGCUAAAAU